UACGUAGGGGGCGAGCGUUGUCCGGAAUUACUGGGCGUAAAGGGUGCGUAGGCGGUUUAACAAGUCGGAUGUGGAAUACCCGGGCUUAACCCGGGGGUGUCAUUCGAAACUGUUGAACUUGAGUGCAGAAGAGGAAAGUGGAAUUCCCAGUGUAGCGGUGAAAUGCGUAGAUAUUGGGAGGAACACCAGUGGCGAAGGCGACUUUCUGGGCUGUAACUGACGCUGAGGCACGAAAGCGUGGGGAGCAAACAGG
Molecule: ribosomal RNA, 253 nt
Filed under: uncultured bacterium
Lineage: Bacteria
Description: partial 16S ribosomal RNA
Rfam family: Bacterial small subunit ribosomal RNA
Source: RNAcentral